CACCUGGUUGAUCCUGCCAGUAGUCAUAUGCUUGUCUCAAAGAUUAAGCCAUGCAUGUCUAAGUAUAAGCUUUAAACGGCGAAACUGCGAAUGGCUCAUUAAAACAGUUAUAGUUUAUUUGGUGAUCGAUUACUAUUUGGAUAACCGUAGUAAUUCUAGAGCUAAUACAUGCGUCAAGGCCCGACUUCGGAAGGGCUGCGUUUAUUAGAUACAGAACCAACCUAGGCUCCGCCUAGUCCUUGUUGGUGAUUCAUAAUAACCCGGCGAAUCGCACGGCUUGUCCGGCGAUGGACCAUUCAAGUUUCUGACCUAUCAGCUAUGGACGGUAGGGUAUUGGCCUACCGUGGCGUUGACGGGUAACGGGGAAUUAGGGUUCGAUUCCGGAGAGGGAGCCUGAGAAACGGCUACCACAUCUAAGGAAGGCAGCAGGCGCGCAAAUUACCCAAUCCUGAUACAGGGAGGUAGUGACAAGAAAUAACAAUACAGGGCAAUUCUGUCUUGUAAUUGGAAUGAGUAGAUUUUAAAUCUCUUUACGAGUAUCAAUUGGAGGGCAAGUCUGGUGCCAGCAGCCGCGGUAAUUCCAGCUCCAAUAGCGUAUAUUAAAGUUGUUGCGGUUAAAAAGCUCGUAGUUGGAUUUCUGCCUUGGGCGACCGAUCCACCUUUCCUACGGGAUUGGUUGGUAUCAGGUUUGACCUUGGCUUUUUCUUGGGAUUCGUGCUCACGUACUUAACUGUGCGUUGACCGUGUUCCAAGACUUUUACUUUGAGGAAAUUAGAGUGUUUCAAGCAGGCUUAUGCCAUGAAUACAUUAGCAUGGAAUAAUAGGAUAUGACUUCGGUCAUAUUUUGUUGGUUUCUAGGACUGAAGUAAUGAUUAAUAGGGACAGUCGGGGGCAUUCGUAUUUAACUGUCAGAGGUGAAAUUCUUGGAUUGUAAA
Molecule: non-coding RNA, 935 nt
Filed under: Perkinsus marinus ATCC 50983
Lineage: Eukaryota; Perkinsozoa; Perkinsida; Perkinsidae
Description: Eukaryotic small subunit ribosomal RNA
Rfam family: Eukaryotic small subunit ribosomal RNA
Source: Rfam by way of RNAcentral